This 206-nucleotide long non-coding RNA is filed under the name Dromaius novaehollandiae (emu). RNAcentral describes it as "lncRNA (ENSDNVG00000010824.1)". The record is from RNAcentral. Lineage: Eukaryota; Metazoa; Chordata; Aves; Casuariiformes; Dromaiidae.
AAAUUGGUAUCCGAGGGAUCAGACAGUGGCAGGUGAGUGUGACUAUGCUGCCUGGAGGAUUUUUUGCCUGGCACUCUCUGCAACUUCCACCUGGCUCUGAGGUCCAUAUCCUGCCUCCAGCAGUAUCUGCACAAGCCCCUACUUUUGGAGCUGUAUGGAUCUUCUGCCAGCUUUUGUACUGAUUUACAUUUUAAAAUGAACUGAAC